This 62-nucleotide ribosomal RNA is filed under the name uncultured organism. Its description in RNAcentral is "partial 16S ribosomal RNA". The record is from RNAcentral.
UGGGCUUGGCGUGUCCGGAAUCCUGCAGAGAUGCGGGAGUGCCCUUCGGGGAAUCAGAACAC